RNAcentral lists this unclassified non-coding RNA (524 nucleotides) under Hevea brasiliensis (rubber tree). Lineage: Eukaryota; Viridiplantae; Streptophyta; Magnoliopsida; Malpighiales; Euphorbiaceae. The record is from RNAcentral.
AAUGCUAUUGUCAAAUGUAUGCUCCAAAACUAGCUUUUCCGCUUAGAAAACCUGCAUCAUGGCAGCAAGCAAUCCUUACAAAUGCUACAUCUCCCAAUUAUCUUCUAAUACACAUUGAUUUGAAAAAUAAUUAAUAAUGCAGUGACUUUUCCCUAUUUUGCAAAACUAUGCACUUUGGACUCUUCAGAAGGCUCGACUGAUAUAUGCUACUGAUGUCAUUUGUUCACAUCAGGGGAGGAACCAUCAGUUUUUAUCUGCUUUUGAUCAGGCAAGGCUGAUUUUGCUCGAGUUUCCCCUUCAUUAGAGGGAUUUGUCUUUUCCCGAGUGUUAUGAGUCCCUGGCUUGGUUGUUGCAGGUUCUUUGACAGCAUUGUCGAUUGGCCUAUCUGCAACAUCACCUGAUUGUUUCUUGGACUCGACUACAAUUUCUUUUAAGGUCUCCUCCAACUUAUCUAGUCUUGCUUUCACCUCAGAAAGUUGUGGAUCAGUCCCUUGUUGUUUUUCCUCCUCAGCCAUCAAUUCCAG